UACAGAGGGUGCGAGCGUUAAUCGGAAUUACUGGGCGUAAAGCGCGCGUAGGCGGCUUUGCAAGUCGGGUGUGAAAUCCCCAGGGUUAACCUGGGAACUGCAUUCGAGACUGCAUUGCUAGAGUAUGGGAGAGGGAAGUGGAAUUUCCGGUGUAGCGGUGAAAUGCGUAGAUAUCGGAAGGAACAUCAGUGGCGAAAGCGACUUCCUGGACCAAUACUGACGCUCAUGUGCGAAAGCGUGGGGAGCAAACAGG
This 253-nucleotide ribosomal RNA is filed under the name uncultured bacterium. Its description in RNAcentral is "partial 16S ribosomal RNA". It matches the Rfam family "Bacterial small subunit ribosomal RNA", at positions 524 to 776 of the family's 1533-position model. The record is from RNAcentral.